This 372-nucleotide long non-coding RNA is filed under the name Rattus norvegicus (Norway rat). RNAcentral describes it as "long non-coding RNA NONRATT023226". Lineage: Eukaryota; Metazoa; Chordata; Mammalia; Rodentia; Muridae. The record is from RNAcentral.
AGCCCACAGGGGACAUCCCGGGGGAACCCCUGCCUGCCACCCUGAGGUACUUGAUAUGGUUUGGACAGUGUGCCCCCGUCAUGUGGGGCCAAUGAGGUAGGCUUGGGAGGGCGAGCAUGGCAGCAGCGCACCUGGCUCAGCAGAGAGAGUUGGUAAGCAGAUGGAGGGGACAUGCUAGGGGGAGACCAGCUCUCCCAGAAACCAUCAAAAAGCCAAAAACAGGUCAAACUGUGGGCACGGGCUGCUGGAUAAACAGUAUCCUCUCUACCACUCCCCUCACCAAGCCAAGGCCCCCACCUCUCCUUUUCCUCGCCUCCCUAGAAGAGAAUUCUGCCUAAGCACUUGUGCUCCUCCUUGGAGGACCAGAGCAGC